AAGCAAACAAUCCAUUUGAAUAACUAAUCAGCGAAAAAUAGCCCUAUCAGAAGCAAAAUGCUUUUUUAAGAAUAGCCAUAAAACAAGAAGAAUUUCAAUAGAUAGAAUGAAAAUUUCCGUUACCAUGAUUUCUCCCCGCCGAAAACAGGAAUCUUUAAAACCGAACUGGAGCGAAUAAUUUAUGCAGAGUCCAAUGUCCUCUUCCAAAUAAUAACAAUUUUGAAAGCAUUAAAACGGACGCGUCUCGUUUCAUAUUUCACAGCAUCACUGCUGCAUCCCUUAUACGCCGCCAAAGUCCAAACAAGCCAACUUCUAACGAAUUGAACAGGAAAAACUAGUUCCCAAUGUCCGUUGGUUCUUGUAGUCAGUCCUCAGAGCACAAUCAACAGCUUGCAACGCGUGGUCCAGGUGUGCAAUACCAUCCGUACCGGUCAGUGUUCCCACCAACAUCACCACACAGACCGGAGAUAAAUCUCAACGCACAGCCAACAUCCGUCACCUUGAUGAUGAUCUGCGUGCGCAGAUGAAAUCCGGAUAUUUUUCCCAAAAACCGGCUUCGCUUCCUUUAUCCUCUGCUGCAGUGCGAGAUGCUGUCCAGUCGGUUUUUCAAAAAAAUCACUAGGGGGAACGAAACGGAUAAAAACCGGAUAUCAACUGCGCCAAAUGCGCGCGCACACACAACACACUCACAGUCAGUGACGACGUCGAGAAAGGGAAGCAAAACCGGAUCGAUGGGCGCAUCCGGGCAAAUUCGCAUGAAAUUAUCUUCCUGAUGAGUGCUGCGCGAGCUAGGAAAUCAGUUCGCUCAAGUCCUUCUAGCGUUCAACAUCAACUUAUUUCUGUGGACCCAAGACACCGGACCGGACCGGGGAAAAUCUAGUUUCGCCUGUGCCUGAUCAAAUGUGACCAUUUCGGAAAUACUGCGUGACAGGAUUAAGUCUAGUAGCCUGUGCAACAAACCAUACCACCAAUGGCAUUCUACUUCAGUGAUGGGAAAGUGAUUCUCAAAAUUCCAAGUGAUGAAACAGUUGUGCUUCGGGAUCAAUUCAAAGCAACGGAAAGUGCCUUAAGUUGAAAGUUCGGAACCAAACCAUGAUUUUAGACUGCAAUGAUAGAAAGUGAUAUCGGCCCCUAAACAGAAACCGGAAAUAUGGACUCAAAAUUUCUGAAAUUUGGCUAAGAUGAUAAUAGUUCGGAAACAAAAGUGAUACCAGUGGAAACAAAUCUCAUCGAGCUAUAUAACAAAAACGACAACCCAGAAAGUGAAAUUGUACUUAAAUAAAUUGACGUUGAACCAACUAGUACGAAACAUGAUGAAGACAGAGGGAUUUGAACGAACUCGUCGCAACGAAACAGCUCCAGUAUGGCGACAUAUACUUCCAGCCCUACCACCGUCACUGUUUAUCUCCAAAGGAACGCUUCACCUCAGGGAAAAGUCACCAUAGACACUGGAUGCAACUUGAAAUAACCUAAAAUGAGAAUGGUUCAAUCAAUAAUUCAUCACAACCGACCUACCACGAAUGAUGAUUACAAUGUUUAGUGACAUUUGUUUCAGUCACCUGACACAUACAGCAAGCAAAAUUCCAUUCCGAAAGCACUCAAUGGAAAACAUUCAGAUCGACUGCACGGAAUGUUUGCCGUAAAUACACAGCCACCGUCCGGAUGGGGGAACCCCUCCGGGACGAUCGCCCUCGCUGCCGCCGUUUUUUGUUAGGAAUUAGACACUUUGUUUUUAAGAAAGAGCUCACAGCUCACCACACUGAUUAGCGUAGAUGCGAAAGAAUAAAAUAUUGAUACGCCAUCUUGUCUUCGCAGCAUUCCCACGCUCGUCGUAACGCACGGUAACGCUACGCGCGACCACGUGCCCUGGCGCACACACAAGCAAAAACAGCCGGCGCUGCCAAUACAGUCGUGCGAAGACUUCUAUUUACUAGCAAAAACAGAAGCUCACUCACAACCAAACGAAGCAUUUCGUAAAUAACACACAUCUCCGCCAGAGGGGGAACCGGUUCAAGUUCAAAAACAUAAUCGAGGGGAAGUUGUCUUUCGGCAGACAGAGAGCGAAAUUCUGCAUCAAAAAAGAGGGGAAGCGUAACGCUGCUACCCGACGUUUCGGUUCGAGGUUAUGUACCAGAGACAUUCAAACUUCUCCCGAGCAAGCAUCAGCGAUAGAGAACAAAUUCCGUCCCGAACGUAAAGCGAACAAUCCAAAACCAACCACGAGGCCAGCAAAAGGAAACAAAAAACAACAAACCAAAGUGAAAUGGAAGUUUAUCGUCGCGAAAGAAACUGUGUGGAAGACGACGGGUCGUUUGUUUUGUGUCGUCGUCGUCGUUGUCGGCGUCGUCACCGACGCCAUCGUGUCACCAAGGAAGAGACAUCCAGGAGGAGGCAACAGGAGGACCAAUCAAAGCUUUCCCAUCGAGCGGAAGCUUUCAGAGAAGUAUACUUUCCGAAUGUUGCAACCAUAGAGAAUCAAAUCCGAACGCAGAGUAAUUACACUUUGUUUUUGAUUUGGUUCAGAUUACAAACCAAUUUAUGGCAGGCAAAGCAAAAACAAAAACAGUACAACAAACAACAGUAAACAAUAAACGUCAAACGUAUGCAUCGCUCCAAUUUUCGUUCUACUUUUGCGAUAAGUAUUUAGUCCUAAGUUUUUGACUAUAGGUUAUAGGUUUCUUUAACUUGAGCUUAGAUUUAACUUUUUUUUAUUAGUCACACCACAACCAAACAAUAGCUAGGAUAAUGAUAGUUCUCUUAAUUAGGAUUCCGUUUUGACAAACCGAAUCUUUUUUCAACUCAAUGCACAGAAAACAUAAACAACAUGUCAAACUUAAGGCAAUAGUAAACAAUAACUGGAAUGUUUUGUUUAUUGUUUAUUAACAGAAACAUACGAAUAAUUUAUUAACAGGAAGAACAAAGUUAUUGGAUUCAAACCUACUAAGCAAGCUUUGGAGACAAAUUAUCAAUCUCGGCUAAUGGGACAUUACCCGGAAUACUGUCAAAAAAUCAUAGAGAAAAUUAAUAACCAAAAACAAUGUUGACAAUACGCACAAACUAAAUGAUGCAAGCUCUUUAUGACAGAAAUUAUUUUCAUUGUCGUUAAAACCAAAAGAACCAAUUUCGGGUAACCGAUUUGGCGUGAAACCCCGUGAUGAGGAUUGUUUAGUUGAAAACUGAAAACUGAUCCAGUUGUUCAUAGGAAAAUUUUAGGAAAAAGAAAAGUAAAACUACUAUUUAGCCGAAAUGUUUACACAUCAUAUUUGUUGAAAACUGAAAAACAUUUAUUUACACAUUUGCGUGACAAACAUAUCUUUAAUCGAAAUACUUUGAAAACACGUCAAACGAAACCAAAAGAAAAAAAAGCUGCUCACUCAAAGUGAAACCACGCAGCAAUAGUUAAAUUUACUUUUCCAAAACCAAAUUGCAUCCAAUCAAGACAAAAAUAGUAAAUGACAAUUUGUUGCUUUCUAACGUUUAGCAAAUACAAAACACAAAUCCAAAACUCGAAGAAAAAGUGAUACUGGAUUAUUGGAAUAAGUCCAAAACAAAACUUUAAGCGAAAAUUUAUUGUUAACUCAUUGAGAUUGUUACACAAAAAGAUUCUAUAUUUUGAAAUAGGCUCUAAACAAGUCGCAAAUAAUGGUAAUAAUUUCUGUAAUAAACACAUUCUGGAACGUUGAAAAGAACAACGAUAAACAAAAAAUGGAACGCCACGUUCCAAAGGCACAAAAAUAAAUCAGACACGAAUUCAAUAAUUUUGCCACACAUUACCACAUGUUACUUAUAGUAAACAAAUCUACACCUAACACACUGAAACAAACAAAUCAUAAUUAUUUUACCAAGUUACUACAUAAAUUCUUCUGUUGGGCAGUUAACCGCACACGAAUGGGGAUUUUUCCCCGAAUUUCCUAGUUUCGGUUUGUUUAUUGUAUUUCUCUCUCAAAUGACCCAAAACUUAGAUACGAAAAAAUAACCGAUCGAUCGCAAGGAAAUCCCGAAAUCCAUUAACCGGUAGGCUUCGGAAUUGGAAUCAACUACAAUUAAUGCAUAUUUUCAUUCGUUUAUUUUUUGUAUUUUCAAACAGCAAGGUUGGAUUGAAAUGAAUAACGGUUCGAAAGAUGAAGCGGGAAAAUCAACGCGAUUCGUGAUAAUUAUGACUUUUGGACUGGGAAACAGCUGUCAAACGAGGGGCGUGCCGAAUAGUUGGUGAUAGGUUUGAUUCGUUGAAAGAUAAAAAAAACGGAAGGGUUCAGUGAACAAGUUAGGACUUUUGUGAGUUAAAAAUGAAACAGUGGCGUCUUCUGGGGUCAGUCAAAUGAAAGCCAAACAAACAAAAUCAUCAAAAUUUCUUCUCUUCCGAAGCGGAAAAGAACGACAAAUUUUGAGUCAAAAACCGAAACAAAAUUCAAAACAUUAGCAGAAAAUUGAAACGAGGGGUUACUCGACGGUAGCUGCACAAAGUGUUGAUUCCGAUCGGCGAUCAAUUCGAUGGAAAGGGUUCUUUUCAAAGGGUUAGCUAUGAUUGAACUCAUUCCCAUCGGAUAACCUUCGAAAUUUGUAUAAAAAUUCAUUUUGUUCGCAGUUUGACCUAAGAAGGAACCUCUCCGCAAGCAAAACAGGAUACCGAUUGGAAACUAAUUAGUCCAAAGCCAAAAAUUCCUUUUGCAAAACCGCGAAAAUGUAAUAUUCAAUCGAACCCUUUCAUAAUUCAAAACAGAGCAGCAAAAUUCAAAACCAAAAGAAGCAAUAAUAUUUUGGGUUCUGAGUUUCUGGCAAGACGUUUAAUUUCGAUCAAAUGAAUUAUUAAUUCCUGGGUUGGGGUUGUGGUGCCGAAUAGUUUCGAAACGGAGGGUGUGAGACUGAUCAAAAUACUAACGAAAUUCCAAAAUAAUAGACCCAUCAUAAAACAGAAAUCUAUUGGCUGUGUUGUUAUUAUUCUCGAUUAACGGCAGCAAAAUUGCUUUUUCGUCCAUUCUUAAUCUUCAAGACAAAAACCAUCAAAGCAGGCUGAAUCGAAGCAAAACCUUAUGCGAGAGCAAAGCAAUGCGGCUUCUGUUCGGACAACAUUCACAUUUCUGACACAAACACAAGCGAAAACCGAAUGGCGAAAGAUAACCGAGCACGUGCUCGCCAAAAUUCAACGCUCGACUGAACGUGAAUCGACCCUCAUGGCAGCGCGGUAAUCCAGGGUGCGUCUUCGAAAUUUAUAGCCUUUGAACGUCGUUCUCGUCGCUGCUUUCGUCGUCGUUCUAAACGUCCCCUUGUGUCUUAAUUAUUUUUCUGGAGAAAACACAUUUAGGCGGUAGCAUCUAAACGAAACAAAUUACACAGAUCGGGCUUUAAAAUAAGACAUUCUGGCAAGCAAGACGAGUUUUGUUACAGUGAAAGAGAUACACCCUUUCAAAUUCAAUCCAAUAUACCAGAACAACCGAAAUUGCGAAACAGUGACGAGAUUCAAAAACAAUAUUUAUAAAACUGGCAACCCGGUUAAUCCAAAUUUGACAACCCAAUUGGCAGGGUUGUCAUUUCCUCAGCUGAGCUCGAUCCGGGGUUAGCGGCAGCCAAGUUCAUGUUUGCUCCAAUUUUGAAUCUGAACACCUCCGUGAUGAAAAUUUCCUACCAAAUGUAGGACCAAGACAAGUGAAAACAAACAAAUCAAUACACUCUGAUUGGCAGCCAUCAGGUGACAGCUCGCAGGGGAAUGACACCUUUCGAAAGGGUACGCCAAAAACUGCAACCAAAUUGUUGCAUUGUUCAAAAUCCAUGAUUCAGCUCUGCUUUGACACCAACUGACGAAACAAGUAGAAAAUCAAUUUUUCUUUUCGAAAAUUGAAGCAGUCUUUCUCUUCGGCUAGGAACUAUAUCGGCAUCUAAUCAAAUUUGCACUAUUAAUUUAAACUAUUUCGUUAAUUAACAUCUAUCUUUCUUCUCGAACUGGGUAGGCGGCUCCGGUGAAACCUCAGAAGGCUGGGAAGCGGACACAUUUCCUUGAUGAUAUUCGGCCGGUUCCGAAGCGAAAGUCUCAUCAGCUAAAUUUCCUUUCUGCAAAUUAUUUCCCAUUUACCGGAAGCAUCAUCGUUUCAAGUCACUCAGAGUGAACGACUGCCAUUUCUCGGUUCAAAAAGCAUGCCCCGGCGCCCAGCACGACACCGGUACGGGAGCAAUACACAUCAAAACGAAAGUCCAAGUGUUUUUACUUUAAAAUUCAUCAUCUGCAACUUUCUUCAAAGUUCGUGUCCCCCAUUUGUCGUCUCCAUUUCUCUCGUCACAUCUUGGUAAUUGACUUAAAUUUAUAUUUUCUACACGCCCUAUCUCUCCCUCUCACUCUCUUUCUGGGCAAUGGCGAGCGCAUCCCUUGCUUUAUUUCCGGCACAAAUUUUUAAGUACAUCAACAAACGACUACCGGCAACCGAGAGUUAAUAAAUUCAAAAAGUUUUCUCGUUUUUCUUUGACAGAGGAAGAAGCUGCAUCGUGCUUGCUGCAGUGGUGCUUCUCCCCUUCAUUUGAUCCAUCUUUCGGAAAGUUUGUCCUCUGAAAACAAGCCAACCAUGUUUAGUUACCGCUCAAAAACACGGACCUAAUUAAGAGGAACCAUCUAGCGAGCGGAUGCGCCACCUACCGAAAAUUCCUCACAUUAUUCGCCCAUUAUCGCAAACGCGUAUUUGGCUUGCUUUGUUUUGGUUCGUCCACUGAACUGAAAUUCAAAAACAGGUCGCACGUCACAGCAUCCCCAACCAACGACACGAACUUUGAAGUGCAACGGUUUUAGGUUCAAAUCCCAAAUUUAAAUGCUUUGCCAUAAACUGGCAACCCUGUCGCCUCAAAAUCUCAACCGAAACCAAAAUAAAAAUAAAAAAACAAA
This is a long non-coding RNA of Aedes albopictus (Asian tiger mosquito), 6865 nucleotides long. RefSeq lists it as uncharacterized. The record is from RefSeq and is a predicted model, not a curated record. NCBI's taxonomy places the organism in Eukaryota, Metazoa, Arthropoda, Insecta, Diptera, Culicidae. The transcript has 2 exons.